This 1579-nucleotide long non-coding RNA is filed under the name Salmo salar (Atlantic salmon). RNAcentral describes it as "lncRNA (ENSSSAG00000114151.1)". The record is from RNAcentral. Lineage: Eukaryota; Metazoa; Chordata; Actinopteri; Salmoniformes; Salmonidae.
GAAUUAUCUUUUAAAGACAGGGUCCUGAAAAAGGGACGUUUCUUUUUUUGCUGAGUUUAUGUCUGUCAUAUUGAGAUAUCUAGCUAUAAAUUAACCCGGAUUAAUCAAAUGGAUAGGUGUAAACAAUUAUGGUAACUCCAACUGCCCUUAACAAGGUGUUAGAUGGAGACAGACAGACAGACAGACAGACAGACAGACAGACAGACAGACAGACAGACAGACAGACAGACAGACAGACAGACAGACAGACAGACAGACAGACAGACAGACAGACAGACAGACAGACAGAGAAACACACACGGAGAGAGGAUGAAAGGAUGAAAGGGAGAGAGAGGUGGGAAGACGGAGAGAGAGAGAGAGAGAGAGAGAGAGAGAGAGAGAGAGAGAGAGAGAGAGAGAGAGAUGGGGAGAGAAACAGAGAGAGAAAUACAUUAUUGUUUGUAUUUCAACAACUCUUGGCUGCCAGCUUAUUCAAUCACAUGUACUUACGGGGGAAGGAUGGCCAGCCACACAGGAGGGUGAUUUUUACAAAGGAGGAAAAGGAGGCCGUUCUGAAUGAGAAGCAUGCUGGCCAUUUAGAAGUGAAAGGCAUGAUUGCCAAAAUCAAUCUACAUUUCUUCUGCCGUGGGAUUGUCAAGGAAGGAUGUGCAACUUAGUACCUGUCUAGCCUGCCAGAAGUUUGAGAAGAUGAAGACUGUGGCACCAGAGUUGAAGCCUAUCAAAGUUGUUUCACCAUGACACAUGAUUGGGGUAGACCUCACCGUACCCUUCACAAAAUCCAGGAAUGGCAACCGUUGGUGUCUGACAGCAACCGAUUACUUUACCAAGUGGGUGGAGGCAAUACCCAUUAAGGACAAGACUGGUGAGUCCACUUCCAAGGCAAUAAUGGACAUCUUCAACGCCAACAGUUCACCUGAGGUCAUCUGGAGUGACAGAGGUCGUGAACUCUGGAAAACAGUUUGGAUGAACGGACCAACCAGACCCUCAAGAUUGCCAUGGGCAAGUCCCUUGACGGGUUCCAGGAACAGUGGGAGAACAACCUGAAGGCAAUUCUCUUUGCACACAAUGGCAGUGUCCAGGCCGUGUUGCAAGCACAGCUUCAGAUGCAAUCGCUAGGCAAGGGCAAUUUAAGUGUAGGAAAGGAUGAAACAGCAUCUGUGCCACCAGCAUCAUGCAGUCAGAUGAUGGGCAGCAAAGAGCCAGAUGAAUGGAGCUGCUUUACAAGGAAUGGAGAAGGAACAAAAUAGCCAUUUGGAUAAAUCUGGAGAAAACACUGACAAACUUGACAUCUCAAGAUAUGAUGGAGAGCACUGAAGACGUGGGCGAUAAGAGGGCAACAGAGGAAGAAGAUCUGUAGAAUAUCUGUCAAUAGGCUGUGGCACAAGAGGAAGGAACAGUGGAUCAACCACCGUUGAAUUGUGACUCCACUUUAUCUCUAUACUGACACUUCGCUUGUUUGAUUGCCUUACGGCGGGAAUAACUACACUGUUUGUAUUCAGCCAUAUUUCCAGUCGCCUUGCCAUGAUUAAAUGCGGUGGUACAUGCUUUCAGUUUUGCACGAAUGCUGCCAUCAAUCCAC